Molecule: non-coding RNA, 73 nt
Organism: Myotis brandtii (Brandt's bat)
Lineage: Eukaryota; Metazoa; Chordata; Mammalia; Chiroptera; Vespertilionidae
Source: Rfam
GGGCCAGUGGCUCAAUGGAUAACCCUUCUGACUAUGAAUCAGAAGAUUCCAGGUUCAACUCCUGGCUGGCUUG